AGAGUUUGAUCAUGGCUCAGAGUGAACGCUGGCGGCGUGCUUAACACAUGCAAGUCGAACGAGAACGGAUUAUAGCUUGCUAUAAUUGUCAGCUAAGUGGCGCACGGGUGAGUAAUAUAUAGAUAACCUGCCCUCAAGAAAGGAAUAACAGUUGGAAACGACUGCUAAUGCCCUAUAUGCCUUUAAUACAUAAGUAUGCAAGGGAAACGCUUUAGUGCUUGAGGAUGGGUCUGUAUGGUAUCAGCUUGUUGGUGAGGUAAUGGCUCACCAAGGCUAUGACGCCUAACUGGUUUGAGAGGAUGAUCAGUCACACUGGAACUGAGACACGGUCCAGACUCCUACGGGAGGCAGCAGUGGGGAAUAUUGCACAAUGGACGAAAGUCUGAUGCAGCAACGCCGCGUGGAGGAUGACACAUUUCGGUGCGUAAACUCCUUUUAUAUAGGAAGAUAAUGACGGUACUAUAUGAAUAAGCACCGGCUAACUCCGUGCCAGCAGCCGCGGUAAUACGGAGGGUGCAAGCGUUACUCGGAAUCACUGGGCGUAAAGAGCGUGUAGGCGGGUAUAUAAGUCAGAAGUGAAAUCCAAUAGCUUAACUAUUGAACUGCUUUUGAAACUGUAUACCUAGAAUGUGGGAGAGGUAGAUGGAAUUUCUGGUGUAGGGGUAAAAUCCGUAGAGAUCAGAAGGAAUACCGAUUGCGAAGGCGAUCUACUGGAACAUUAUUGACGCUGAGACGCGAAAGCGUGGGGAGCAAACAGGAUUAGAUACCCUGGUAGUCCACGCCCUAAACGAUGCACACUA
RNAcentral lists this ribosomal RNA (800 nucleotides) under uncultured bacterium. Its description in RNAcentral is "bacterial SSU rRNA". It matches the Rfam family "Bacterial small subunit ribosomal RNA", at positions 8 to 818 of the family's 1533-position model. The record is from RNAcentral.